RNAcentral lists this transfer RNA (64 nucleotides) under Argas ricei. RNAcentral's name for it is "tRNA-Phe". Lineage: Eukaryota; Metazoa; Arthropoda; Arachnida; Ixodida; Argasidae. The record is from RNAcentral.
GUUCUUGUAGUUUAAGGAAAAAAAACGUAACGUUGAAAAUGUUGAGAUAAGAAAUUCGAGAAUA